This 639-nucleotide ribosomal RNA is filed under the name uncultured bacterium. Its description in RNAcentral is "bacterial SSU rRNA". It matches the Rfam family "Bacterial small subunit ribosomal RNA", at positions 338 to 1429 of the family's 1533-position model. The record is from RNAcentral.
CCUACGGGAGGCAGCAGUGGGGAAUUUUGGACAAUGGGCGCAAGCCUGAUCCAGCAAUGCCGCGUGAGUGAAGAAGGCCUUCGGGUUGUAAAGCUCUUUUGUCAGGGAAGAAACGGUAGGAGCUAAUAUCUCUUGCUAAUGACGGUACCUGAAGAAUAAGCACCGGCUAACUACGUGCCAGCAGCCGCGGUAAUACGUAGGGUGCAAGCGUUAAUCGGAAUUACUGGGCGUAAAGCGUGCGCAGGCGGUUUUUGAAGUCUGUCGUGAAAGCCCCGGGCUCAACCUGGGAAUUGCGAUGGAGACUGCAAGGCUUGAAUCUGGCAGAGGGGGGUUAGAAUUCCACGUGUAGCAGUGAAAUGCGUAGAGAUGUGGAGGAACACCGAUGGCGAAGGCAGCCCCCUGGGUCAAGAUUGACGCUCAUGCACGAAAGCGUUGGGGAGCAAACAGGAUUAGGAUACCCGUGGUAAGUCCACGGCCCUUAAACGGAUGUCUACUAGUUGUUACGGGUUUUAAUUAACGUUGGUAACCGCAGCUAACGCGUGAAGUACGACCGCGUGGGGAAGUCCGGUCGCAAGAUUAAAACCGUUAAGUGAAGUUGACCGGNUGAGACGUGACGACGGACGACGACGAGGGAGGAGG